Molecule: unclassified non-coding RNA, 374 nt
Filed under: soil metagenome
Description: partial contains internal transcribed spacer 2 and large subunit ribosomal RNA
Rfam family: 5.8S ribosomal RNA (bases 1-120)
Source: RNAcentral
GAUGAAGAACGUAGCGAAAUGCGAUAAUUAAUGUGAAUUGCAGAAUUCCGUGAAUCAUCGAGUCUUUGAACACACAUUGCGCCUCAUGGCAUUCCGUGAGGCAUGCCCAUCUCAGCGUUAGAAAAUAUUCUCAAAUUUUAGUUUUGUGCUAAAAUUUGGAUCAUGUCAAGGAAGCUAUUACUAUUAUUGUGAUCGCUCUUUGGAAAUUGAUAGGUCUUUGAGUUGCUACUCAUAGAACGUGAUGAAUCUUUCUUCGUUCUAUUGUAAUUCACUCUGGUAGUCCUAAAACUUGUAUGCCUGUGGCAUAUCUUGUAAUUUGACCUGAGAUUGGGUAGGGAUACCCGCUGAACUUAAGCAUAUCAAUAAGCGGAGGA